This 224-nucleotide ribosomal RNA is filed under the name uncultured bacterium. RNAcentral describes it as "partial 16S ribosomal RNA". It matches the Rfam family "Bacterial small subunit ribosomal RNA", at positions 261 to 477 of the family's 1533-position model. The record is from RNAcentral.
CGGCUUACCAAGGCGACGAUACGUAGCCGACCUGAGAGGGUGAUCGGCCACACUGGAACUGAGACACGGUCCAGACUCCUACGGGAGGCAGCAGUAGGGAAUCUUCCGCAAUGGGCGAAAGCCUGACGGAGCAACGCCGCGUGAGUGAUGAAGGUCUUCGGAUCGUAAAACUCUGUUAUUAGGGAAGAACAUACGUGUAAGUAACUGUGCACGUCUUGACGGUA